ACUCAUAGAAUUUUUUUUGAAUAUGAUAUUGAAGAUAUCAAGGAAGCAGCGUAGCUCAUGAGUG
This 64-nucleotide transfer RNA is filed under the name Pleurocryptella fimbriata. RNAcentral's name for it is "tRNA-Phe". RNAcentral also lists the same sequence under 1 other name. Lineage: Eukaryota; Metazoa; Arthropoda; Malacostraca; Isopoda; Bopyridae. The record is from RNAcentral.